AGAUAUAACGAGAAUCUGUUUGUGCCGAUUGUUUAAAAUACUUUUUGUAUUAUUUAUGAUUAUGUCACAUUAUGUUAAAGCUUGACACGUUACCCACUAUUUUUAUGUCGAUAAGAUGUAUACACGUAUUUUGCGCAUUAAUGCAGCAACAAUAUUUUGAUUAGACUUUAGUGACGAAAAUGUCUUCGAUUUUUAAUAUUUUAAUCAAAGUAUGUUCACCUCGGUAAGAUUUAUUGGACCAACAGCUGCUGUUCUCUUCAUGAUAACAGAGGACGUAUUCUAAAAGCUUUCAAAACUGUCAGUCAUGUGGACGGCACAUGUUAUAAAUAACACCAACAAGGAAAGUUAGCUUAAGACUUGCAUAAUAUACUGGAGAAAUGAAAACCUACGUUAUUUUUGUGAUUCUUGUGAUUCACUGCUACUCAGUAUCCGCAGUACCUUUACCGUUCCCUCUUGGCCCCCAGGGCUGUGAAUACCAGGGGGAACUGUUCGCUCCAGGAGAUUCGAUUCCAGGUCUUUUUAGCCGGGAUGGAGACCGCUGUUCCGGAGCAACCUGCACUGAGACGGGGAGGGGACAGUAUAUGAUGAUAAACUGGGAAAGUCCGGAUUGUCCAACAGAAAGACCGAAAGCCAACAAACCUUAAAUUCUUAUAAACUAUUCGAAAGAUGCAUAUACUUGUAUAUUGGAGGGAAAUCACCGACCAGAUAUAUUGAUUGUAGAAGUUACGAUAUGAUGUACAAAUUAAUCGUAUAUUUGGAGAAAAUAAACACUUAUUUUUAUUAAAAUACG
This is a long non-coding RNA of Magallana angulata, 790 nucleotides long. RefSeq lists it as uncharacterized. NCBI's taxonomy places the organism in Eukaryota, Metazoa, Mollusca, Bivalvia, Ostreida, Ostreidae. The record is from RefSeq and is a predicted model, not a curated record. The transcript has 2 exons.